UAUAUGCCUAGUGCCAGCUAUCUGGAUAAAAGAAAGAACGCAGAGAAACAGGUUAGCUAUUCUUAGAUACAGCAUUAAAUUGUGAGUGCACUUGUCACAACGGCAGUACAUGUCAUAGAGAUCAUUCAUUGAUCUCAUUGACCAGCCCCCAUUGUCUACAGUAUAUAGAGUCGUACAUGUAUAGUGCCAACACAACAGAACUACACAGAAACAGAUUUGAGCGGAAAAAGAGCUUCUGACAAUGGGGGGUCAAAGGACGCUUUCCGUGUUGCUUCUGUUGAUGAUGGGUGUGGUGACCACUGCUCUUCCUGCAACUACUGGAAACAUCACUGCUAUUGUAGACACCACUUCAACGGUUGGCCCUUCAUCAGCCACUGGUGAGUUUACCUUUAGUCCAAUAAGUGAUUUUCAAUCCACUUCUCAAUCCUCUCUGACUGACUGAAUUGUAAUCAUCUCUCAUCUUAAUCAUAUAGUAUGUUAUAUACACUACCGUUCAAAAGUUUGGGGUCAAUUAGAAAUGUCCUUGUUUUUAAAAGAAAAGCGCAUUUCUUGUCCAUUAAAACAGCAUCAAAUUGAUCAGAGAUACGGUUUAGACAUUGUUAAUGUUGUAAAUUACUAUUCUAGAUGGAAACGGCAGAUUUUUUUAUGGAAUAUCUACAUAGGUGUACAGAGGCCCAUUAUCAGCAACCAUCACUCCUGUGUUCCAAUGGCACGUUGUGUUAGCUAAUCCAAGUUUAUCAUUUUAAAAGGCUAACUGAUCAUUAUAAAACCCUUUUGCAAUUAUAUUAGCACAGCUGAAAACUGUUGUCCUGAGUUAAAGAAGCAAUAAAACUGGCCUUCUUUAGACUAUUUGAGUAUCUGGAGCAUCAGCAUUUGUGGGUUCGAUUACAGGCUCAAAAUGGCCAGAAACAAAGAACUUUCCUCUGAAACUCAUCAGUCUAUUUUUGUUCUGAGAAAUGAAGGCUAUUCCAUGUGAGAAUUUUCGUCCCUCUGCAACUGGAUCUUCGACAUCCUGACGGGCCACCCCUAGGUGGUAAGGGUAGGUAACAACACAUCUGCCACGCUGACCGUCAACAAGAGGGCCCCUCAGAGGUGUAUACUUAGUCCCCUCAUGUACUCCCAGUUCACUGCAUGGCUGUGCCCGACUCCAACACCAUCAUUAAGUUUGCUGACGACACGACGGUGCUAGGCCUGAUCACUGACAACGAUGAGACAGCCUAUAGGGAGGAGAUCAGUGACCGGGCACUGUGGUGCCAUGACAACAUCCUCUCCCUCAACGUCAGCCAGACAAAGGAGCUGAUCGUGGUCUACAGGGGAAAAAAAGGGCCGAGCAUGCCCCCUGGGCUUUAUUGGAGCGGGUCGAGAGCUUCAAGUUCCUCGGUCUCCGUCACUAAGGAU
Molecule: long non-coding RNA, 1398 nt
Filed under: Salmo salar (Atlantic salmon)
Lineage: Eukaryota; Metazoa; Chordata; Actinopteri; Salmoniformes; Salmonidae
Description: lncRNA (ENSSSAG00000099758.1)
Source: RNAcentral